AUGGGCUCUAGCCGUCGUUCGACCACCACCUUGGUCCUCGCGUCGUUGCUAUGCCUCUACCUCGCGCCGCGCGGGGCCUUCUCGCUCUCCUUCAGCCUCGACUACUCCGACGCCGGCGCCGGUUCGUCGAUCGUCGUGGCUGGCGACGCACUCGUCAGUCCACCGGCGCUCCAGCUGAUGAAAAACAGCCGGGCGUCGUACCGGUACAAAGUGCCGCUGUGGAACGGUGCCGCCGGCGAGGUGGCUAGCUUCGCCACCGCCUUCUCUUUCCGGAUCACCCCAGACAAGGACAAGGACAGCCCGCCGCAGCAGCCAGGCGGUAGGAUGGCCUUCUUCCUCGGCCACCACCCUUCCGUGGACGUCCCGCGCAGCAGCGCCGGCGGAGGCCCGGCCAUCGUGACGGUAGGGUUUGACGCCUUCCUCAACCAUGUCGGCAUCGACAUCAGCUCCGUCAACUCCACGGCGCCCGCGCACACGACGGCGACAUGGCCCGGCAAGAACCUCACGACGUCCAGUGUCAUGGAGGCCACCGUGAAAUACCACAACGACUCCAGGACGCUGGCUGUUGCUCUCCUCAUCGAUGGUGCCCUGUACCAGGCCAAUGCAACCGUUGAUCUCAGCAGAAUUCUACCGGAGGAGGUCGCGGUUGGCUUCUCCGCCGCCGCCUUUGCCGGGAUGCACCAGAUACGGUCGUGGUCGUUCGGUUCCACUCUGCCGGAGUCCAAGCAGGAGGCAUCUCCUCAGCCUGCUGAACCUCCUCAUCUCCCAAUCAGCAGCUACAACCACAAGAAGAUAGCAUUAGUCCUAUUAUUCCUAGGAACGAUCACGGCGAGGUGUGUCCGAAUAGGAUUUCAGUUUCGAUUCAAGACAUCACCGAAUCGUGUUACCUUGGCUGUCCUAGCCUAG
This 906-nucleotide ribosomal RNA is filed under the name Triticum aestivum (bread wheat). Its description in RNAcentral is "partial small subunit ribosomal RNA". Lineage: Eukaryota; Viridiplantae; Streptophyta; Magnoliopsida; Poales; Poaceae. The record is from RNAcentral.